Molecule: long non-coding RNA, 569 nt
Filed under: Homo sapiens (human)
Lineage: Eukaryota; Metazoa; Chordata; Mammalia; Primates; Hominidae
Description: HSALNT0325952
Source: RNAcentral
CCGGAGAGUAAGGAUUUCAGAUGAGGCAACCAAAAGAGGUUAGGCUGAAGCCUCUGCAUGUCCCGAUGCCUGAUGGAGAUGGAGGAAUCCUUUCUACCCAGACAGAAGUCACACUAUGUAGCCUGUCCUCUUUAGAACAUAACAUUCUCUGGCUAACGGUGAUUAAGCCCCAGGAAACAUAUCCAAGACACCAAGAAGGCCCUCACUGGAUGGCGGUGGCUCAAGCCUGUAAUCCCAGCACUUCGGGAGGCGGAGAUGGGCGGAUCAUGAGGUCAGGAGUUCAAGACCAGCCUGGCCAACAUGGUGAAACCUCGUCUCUACUAAAAAUACAAAAAUUAGCAAGGCGUGGUGGUGCACACCUGUAAUUCCAGCUACGCAGGAGACUGAGGCAGGAGAAUUGCUUUAACCUGGGAAGUGGAGGUUGCAGUGAGCCGAGAUCGCACCAUUGCACUCUAGCCUGGGUGACAGAGCGAGACUCCAUCUCAAAAAAAAAAAGGAAAGCCCUCACUGGAUGUGACCCUUCAAUUCUGGUGUCCCUAGCCUCCAGAACUGUGAGCCAAAUAAAUUUC